This 1531-nucleotide long non-coding RNA is filed under the name Homo sapiens (human). RNAcentral describes it as "non-protein coding lnc-PAH-3:2". The record is from RNAcentral. Lineage: Eukaryota; Metazoa; Chordata; Mammalia; Primates; Hominidae.
ACCCAACAUGCUACUCAGCCCAAUUCCCAACCCUUUGCACCAGGUUUGGCUUCUGUUUUUAUUUUUGCAAAGUCUGUUCCUCUUGGCUCCAACUUCCGUCUUUGGAGUUGUUAAUGGAGAAGUUAGGGUGCUAUGUAGAUUCACCAGGCGAGUUCAGUACUACUACCCUGGGGAUGAAUGUUGGUGAGAAGCCAUUCCAGAUAGACCCCCAACAACUCUGCUUCGUUGACCCUCAGAACAGUACCCUGUGGGACUCCUGAGCCGUAAGGAGUCUCCCUGGUAGCGCGCAGCGGGGCCAGGCUCUGUGCUCCGGCCCCCGUGCGGUGCCCAGCUCUGCAGGUUCCCGAAAGUGCGCCCCGGGGUGGGGUUGCAAUCCGCCCCGUGACGGCAUAAUAAAUAAUUAGAGGGUUUAAGCGUGUUAGCCACAGCUCAUGCUAAUGAGCCAGAUAAGGGCUCACGCUAACCCGAAGUGACAGUUUGCAUAUAGGAGGGAAGAAGAAAAAAUCCUGCUUCCCCCCCCACGCACAAACUUGAUUGCUCCUUCUCAAAUUCAUGUCCCCAAAUCCCUUCCCCCAUUCCUCGGACUUCCCUCUUCUCACAUGCCCCCACUUCAGCCACAACACACACACUAUCCGUUUUUGACCCUUCCUUUGCCUUUCACCGGGUCAGACGGCAUUGUGACGUCACAAAACCCCUGGGUGCCUAUAUCUGACCUGCGCGGAAAGUUCAUUCUGAGUGCGUCCUGGCGAGUCUCAGCCCCCAAGCGGGUGGAACGCACCAAGGGUCUCAUCCGCGAGGAAGGGCUUUAACGCUCAGGGUCAGGAACCUCUGAGAGCUCUUGGGGACUUGCGCGCCCUUGGAUGCUCUUGCGUUCAACAGGGCUAGGAGACUACCGGCUGGGGCGAGGAAUGCAGGCGCCUAGAGCCUUGGAGCUCCUGAAACGUUCCUGCCGCCUCCGGAAAGCAAGGGCAGUUUACCGAAGUGACUGAGGCCAAGUAUUUGCAGCACGGGCAGGGACCAGUAACUGAUUUUCAGGCCUUUUGAGAGGAAGAGGAAGAGAGAGGAAGAGAAGGAUUUCUAAUAGUAGAUAUUCACUCUCAUGGACUCUUUAGGAAACAGCAACAAAGACAAGAUUAAGAACACCAAAUUGUGUGACUAUCCACACAAAAAAGCAUCUUCAUAAGAACCAAAAAUCAGAGGGCAAGGAAAAAGGCUGAAUGCAAAACCAGAAUGUCAACAGGGUGCUAACGGAGACCAAUGGAAGGGGCAACUGACUCUCCCCAGGGAAGGUAGGCAAGGAGAUUGAGGGAAGUAGCAAUGAAAGGAGAGCUUGCAAAAUGAAGUCAUCAGAGCUUUGCAUAAGAAACAAUUCAUGGACCUUAGAUCAAGUAGUGAGGAUUAAAACUAUGUCUAUGUGAGGCUUUGGCUAGUUUUUCUACCUAAGACAUCCUUACCUCUCCUUUCCACUUGGGAAUCAUCUUCCUUUCCUAACCAUCAUCAUCAACCCUCAAGGCAGUCAGGGGCAUCUGUG